GUACAGAUGAUGAGCAUUGCGGUAUGAGGGGUAACAAUGAUACUGUAAACGCUUUCUGAUGUA
Molecule: small nucleolar RNA, 63 nt
Organism: Chloebia gouldiae (Gouldian finch)
Lineage: Eukaryota; Metazoa; Chordata; Aves; Passeriformes; Passeridae
Source: Ensembl